GACGAACGCUGGCGGCGUGCUUAACACAUGCAAGUCGAACGGAAAGGCCCUGCUUUUGUGGGGUGCUCGAGUGGCGAACGGGUGAGUAACACGUGAGUAACCUGCCCUUGACUUUGGGAUAACUUCAGGAAACUGGGGCUAAUACCGGAUAGGAGCUCCUGCUGCAUGGUGGGGGUUGGAAAGUUUCGGCGGUUGGGGAUGGACUCGCGGCUUAUCAGCUUGUUGGUGGGGUAGUGGCUUACCAAGGCUUUGACGGGUAGCCGGCCUGAGAGGGUGACCGGCCACAUUGGGACUGAGGUACGGCCCAGACUCCUACGGGAGGCAGCAGUGGGGAAUAUUGCACCAUGGGCGGAAGCCUGAUGAAGCAACGCCGCGUGCGGGAUGGCGGCCUUCGGGUUGUAAACCGCUUGCGCCUGUGACGAAGCGUGAGUGACGGUAAUGGGUAGAGAAGCACCGGCUAAAUACGUG
This 468-nucleotide ribosomal RNA is filed under the name uncultured bacterium. RNAcentral's name for it is "partial 16S ribosomal RNA". It matches the Rfam family "Bacterial small subunit ribosomal RNA", at positions 28 to 507 of the family's 1533-position model. The record is from RNAcentral.